CCUACGGGAGGCAGCAGUGGGGAAUAUUGCACAAUGGGCUAACGCCUGAUGCAGCAACGCCGCGUGAGCGAUGAAGGCCUUCGGGUCGUAAAGCUCUGUCCUCAAGGAAGAUAAUGACGCUACUUGAAGCGUAAGCCCCGGCUAACUACGUACCAGCAGCCGCGGUAAUAGGUAGGGGGCUAGCGUUAUCCGGAAUUACUGGGCGUAAAGGGUGCGUAGGUGGGUUCUUAAGUCAGAGGUGAAAGGGUACGGCUCAACCGUAGUAAGCCUUUGAAACUGGGGAACUUGGGUGCAGGAGAGGAGAGUGGAAUUCGUGGUGUAGCGGUGAAAUGCGUAGAUAUUAGGAGGAACACCAGUUGCGAAGGCAGCUCUCUGGACUGUAACUGACACUGAGGCACGAAAGCGUGGGUAGCAAACAGGAUUAGAUACCCCUGUAGUC
Molecule: ribosomal RNA, 439 nt
Filed under: uncultured bacterium
Lineage: Bacteria
Description: partial 16S ribosomal RNA
Rfam family: Bacterial small subunit ribosomal RNA
Source: RNAcentral